This 433-nucleotide ribosomal RNA is filed under the name uncultured bacterium. RNAcentral's name for it is "partial 16S ribosomal RNA". It matches the Rfam family "Bacterial small subunit ribosomal RNA", at positions 29 to 507 of the family's 1533-position model. The record is from RNAcentral.
AACGAACGCUGGCGGCAUGCCUAACACAUGCAAGUCGAACGGGACCUUCGGGUCUAGUGGCGCAGGGGUGCGUAACGAGUGGGAACUUGCACUUGGGUUCGGUAUAACUCCCCGAAAGGUGUGCUAAUACCGGUUAAUGUCAUCGGAGCAAAGAGUUAUGGCGGUUGGGUGGGGGCGCGUUGGCUUAGCUGGUUGGUAGUGUAAAAGCCGGCCAAGGCGACGUUGCAUGGCUGGUCGGAGAGGAAGAUCUGCCAGACUGGGACUGAGACACGGCCUAGAACGCGACGGGAGGGAGGAGUGGAGAAUAUUGGAGAAGGAGGGAAGACGUGAUCCAGCAGCGCCGGGGGUGUGAGGAAGGGGUUAGGGUUGUAAAUCUCUUUGAGACGGGAUGAUAAUGACAGUACCGGGAGAAGAAGCACCGGCUAACUACGUG